AAACUGAUGAAGUGCUGUGAUGCCAUAUCCUAAACCUAGACCAGUUGGGAGGGGAUUAAUGCUGUCCUAAAGGCUCUGUGAAAUUCACACUGCGGUCAGAGGUGGUGCGUCCAGCAUGAGGUGUUGCAGAACACUAACAAGGAAAGGUUCCCAGAAGACACUGUUUCCUGGGAAAUGUCUUUGUGGUGCUGGUUGAGUGCCUGCACGGCCUCAGGGAGAAGGAGCAGAGCUUGACACUGUCCUGAUGCACAGCUUCAAACUGCCGUUAGGCUGCCAUGGGAUGGCUGGGAAAUGUGUAAAUGGGUAAAACAACGUGUAUUGGUGAAACCAGCUUGCUGGCAUUACAGAGCUUGUUUAAUCGUGGAGUCACAGAAUGGCCUGGGAUGAAAGGGACCUCAAAGAUCAUCUAGUUCCAACCCCCUGGAAAGUCUGCAUUAAGAAAUAGUACCAGCUUCUCUCCUGGGGCUUGUAAUUGUCACUUACCAGCACCGUGAUCUUUAACACAACGACUCUCUAGUGGCAUCACUGUGGUUGCAGUCACCCCAAUCCUCUGCAGACGGAGAUUACUUGAGGUGAGAUGGAGAGGGACAGAGGGAUGAAAAGCAGGGAAGCCACAAGCCUGGAGCUGAUGCCACCGCAGAGAUGUGCUGAGUGUCAGGAGUGAGUCUGCUAUCCCCUACACCUGGGCUGCUCUGCAGGUAAGGGGCGAGGUGGGGCAGUGCAGAAGCAAUGGGCACAGAGGGGCUGGUGAGCGGCUGCUGAGGACGAGAGGUGUGCUGUGGUUGUGACUUGGGGGAAACCUCUCAGGUGCACUGAAAUCUGGAGGUGUGAACCAUGUGGCUGGAGCCCUUUGGAUGAAGUCCAAGGCACGGGGCAGCUUCCCAUGCCGAGCUUCCUCAGGGCUGGCUCCCUGGUGGCAGGACUGUCCCAUUCCCAUUGGAGUGGGGGGCAGUUGCUCUGGUUGGCUUUGGUUGAACAUCUGUAUUAAUGGAAGGGAAAUUCCUGAGGUUGGCAUUGGAGCCAGGAAGGAAAAUGAGUUUUUCUGGAGUCCUUUAAUCACAGUUUCUUCAUGAGCUGUCAGAAAUGCCGGCAUUAUUUAAUCGUCUGUUAAAUCCCAAUCACAUGAGCACUUUCCCUGAGUGCAAUG
Long non-coding RNA from Gallus gallus (chicken), 1147 nucleotides. NCBI's taxonomy places the organism in Eukaryota, Metazoa, Chordata, Aves, Galliformes, Phasianidae. The record is from Ensembl.